RNAcentral lists this ribosomal RNA (440 nucleotides) under uncultured bacterium. RNAcentral describes it as "partial 16S ribosomal RNA". It matches the Rfam family "Bacterial small subunit ribosomal RNA", at positions 338 to 795 of the family's 1533-position model. The record is from RNAcentral.
CCUACGUGUGGCUGCAGUGGGGGAUAUUGGACAAUGGGGGAAACCCUGAUCCAGCGAUGCCGCGUGAGGGAAGAAGGUUUUCGGAUUGUAAACCUCUGUUGAGGGGGACGAUAAUGAGUGUACCCCUUUAGGAAGCCACGGCUAACGACGUGCCAGCAGCCGCGGUAAUACGUAGGUGGAGAGCGGUGUACGGAAUUAUUGGGGGUAAAGGGAGUGUAGGCGGGAAAGCAAGUCGGAAGUGAAAACUAUGGGCUUAACCCAUAGCCUGCUUUUGAAACUGUUUUUCUUGAGUGAAGUAGAGGCAAGCGGAAUUCCUAGUGUAGCGGUGAAAUGCGUAGAUAUUAGGAGGAACACCAGUGGCGAAGGCGGCUUGCUGGGCUUUUACUGACGCUGAGGCUCGAAAGCGUGGGGAGCGAACAGGAUUAGAUACCCUUGUAGUC